Non-coding RNA from Azoarcus sp. CIB, 82 nucleotides. The record is from Rfam. Lineage: Bacteria; Pseudomonadati; Pseudomonadota; Betaproteobacteria; Rhodocyclales; Zoogloeaceae.
GCCCAAGUGGCGGAAUUGGUAGACGCACCAGAUUUAGGUUCUGGCGCCGCGAGGCGUGGGGGUUCGAGUCCCUUCUUGGGCA